GGAGAGGUAAAACCUAAUAUCUACCCAUCUUCAUCUCCCAAAUUGUUGAAUCAUCAAAUCAAUAAGAUUUAUUUGCAUUGAGUUAGGGUUUGUGGUCUUUGAUUCCAAAUCGAUAAUAGUUCAUCAAGAGCUCCAUUUUCAUUAAGAGAAAGGGGAAAUUUGAUUCUAAUUCGUUGUUUAGGGGAAAGAGGGUAAACUAAUAGUGUUGUGCAGAGUCAAAUAGAAUUCCAUUUUCUUGUACUCCAAGAAAAAGAAUAAGAUCAUAAACUAUGAGGAGUAGCUCACAACCAUGCACAAGUACUUGUCAAUCCUUAUGCAUCUGCAUUUCAGUCAAUUUCCAACAAACAAAUAAGGACCAAAUUGAUAGUAAGGAAACAGACUUAUCCAUUUAUAUAUCCAAAGACAUAUUUUAACUACAACAAAUACACAACUUGCUUCUUGAGUGCAAAUGGGAUGUUGCUUCUCAAUUGUUGAGUGGAAAGACAAUAAGAUCAUGAAGCAGUUGAUUGAACUUGUCAUUAUGUUUUGGUCUUUUUUUUUAGGGAUAUGUUGGCAAGUUUAGCUGUGACAGCUUUUGGAAGGCAUGAAGCCAUGAUUUGUAUAUCAACAAGAUGUUUCAAUACUUUAGUAUAAAUAUUUUCACUUGGAUUUUCAAUAUAAUUAGAUAGAACUUGUCAUUUUGUCUCAUUGAUAUUUACUAUAGGACUAUGAAUGUAAUUAACUGCAAAAGAAUUGCAUAUGCUGCGAUAUAUCAAACUUCA
Manihot esculenta (cassava) is the source of this 761-nucleotide long non-coding RNA. RefSeq lists it as uncharacterized. The transcript has 3 exons. NCBI's taxonomy places the organism in Eukaryota, Viridiplantae, Streptophyta, Magnoliopsida, Malpighiales, Euphorbiaceae. The record is from RefSeq and is a predicted model, not a curated record.